GCAGUGGUGGUUCAGGGGUAGAAUUCUUGCCUCCCAAUUAGGAGACCCAAGUUUGAUUCCUGGCCCAUGCA
This 71-nucleotide transfer RNA is filed under the name Loxodonta africana (African savanna elephant). It matches the Rfam family "tRNA". Rfam says of the family: Transfer RNA (tRNA) molecules are approximately 80 nucleotides in length. Their secondary structure includes four short double-helical elements and three loops (D, anti-codon, and T loops). The record is from Rfam by way of RNAcentral. Lineage: Eukaryota; Metazoa; Chordata; Mammalia; Proboscidea; Elephantidae.